RNAcentral lists this ribosomal RNA (460 nucleotides) under uncultured soil bacterium. RNAcentral's name for it is "bacterial SSU rRNA". It matches the Rfam family "Bacterial small subunit ribosomal RNA", at positions 26 to 506 of the family's 1533-position model. The record is from RNAcentral.
AGGACGAACGCUGGCGGCGUGCUUAACACAUGCAAGUCGAGCGGUAAGGCCUUUCGGGGUACACGAGCGGCGAACGGGUGAGUAACACGUGGGUGAUCUGCCCUGCACUUCGGGAUAAGCCUGGGAAACUGGGUCUAAUACCGGAUAUGACCUCCUAUCGCAUGGUGGGUGGUGGAAAGAUUUUAUCGGUGCAGGAUGGGCCCGCGGCCUAUCAGCUUGUUGGUGGGGUAAUGGCCUACCAAGGCGACGACGGGUAGCCGACCUGAGAGGGUGACCGGCCACACUGGGGACUGAGACACGGCCCAGACUCCUACGGGAGCAGCAGUGGGAAUAUGCACAUGGGCGAAAGCCUGAUGCAGCGACGCCGCGUGAGGAUGGACGGCUUCGGGUUGUAAACCUCUUUCAGCAGGACGAAGCGACAAGUGACGGUACCUGCAAGAAGAAGCACGGCUAACGACGU